Molecule: non-coding RNA, 390 nt
Organism: Parasteatoda tepidariorum (common house spider)
Lineage: Eukaryota; Metazoa; Arthropoda; Arachnida; Araneae; Theridiidae
Source: RefSeq, a predicted model, not a curated record
UUCCUGGCGUUACUAAAAUAUUAUAGAAAUUACAAUAAAGGAAAGUGAGACAAUAUGAAUAAACAUUAUAUUUACUUUUAUACUUUGAAUGGAUACAUAAAAGGGAAACAGUUGCUUAAAGUAUAUAAUAUACUAUUACCGACGUCGAUCACCCACCAUACAAAAUGAAGUUCCUUGGCCUCAUUCUCUUAUCGAGUUUGGCAUUCUUUUGGACUGCUGACGCUGGGUGUAGUAGUAACAGACAAUGCAAUGAUGACGAAUGUUGUAUCACAUCUACAGAAGAAGGAAAAUGUAGAAAGCUUGGAACAGAAGGUGACAUUUGCGAAUCUGGUCAGAGCAACGUCUACCACUGUCCUUGCGCAAAGGGUUAUAUUUGCACACAUACUAGGG